CCUACGGGAGGCAGCAGUGGGGAAUAUUGCACAAUGGGGGAAACCCUGAUGCAGCGAAGCCGCGUGAGUGAAGAAGGAAUUCGGUAUGUAAAGCUCUAUCAGCAGGGAAGAAAAUGACGGUACCUGAGUAAGAAGCCCCGGCUAACUACGUGCCAGCAGCCGCGGUAAUACGUAGGGGGCAAGCGUUAUCCGGAUUUACUGGGUGUAAAGGGAGCGUAGACGGCAGUGCAAGUCUGGAGUGAAAGGCGGGGGCUCAACCCCCGGACUGCUCUGGAAACUGUACGGCUGGAGUGCAGGAGAGGUAAGUGGAAUUCCUAGUGUAGCGGUGAAAUGCGUAGAUAUUAGGAGGAACACCAGUGGCGAAGGCGGCUUACUGGACUGUAACUGACGUUGUGGCUCGAAAGCGUGGGGAGCAAACAGGAUUAGAUACCCCAGUAGUC
RNAcentral lists this ribosomal RNA (440 nucleotides) under uncultured bacterium. RNAcentral's name for it is "partial 16S ribosomal RNA". It matches the Rfam family "Bacterial small subunit ribosomal RNA", at positions 338 to 795 of the family's 1533-position model. The record is from RNAcentral.